CAAUUCAAUAAGCGGAGNAAAAGACCCANCAGGGAUUGCCUCAGUAACGGCGAGUGAAGCGGCACAGCUCAAAUUUGAAAUCUGGCCUCUUUGGGGUCCGAGUUGUAAUUUGUAGAGGAUGUUUCGGGUACCGCCUCGGUCUAAAUUUCUUGGAACAGAAUGUCAAAGAGGGUGAGAAUCCCGUCUUGGACCGGCGGUAGGGCCCAUGUGAAACUCCUUCGACGAGUCGAGUUGUUUGGGAAUGCAGCUCAAAAUGGGUGGUAAAUUUCAUCUAAAGCUAAAUAUUGGCCAGAGACCGAUAGCGCACAAGUAGAGUGAUCGAAAGAUGAAAAGCACUUUGAAAAGAGAGUUAAACAGUAUGUGAAAUUGUUGAAAGGGAAGCGCUUGCAACCAGACUUGAGCGCGCCGGUUCCCCUUCCUUUUGGUUGGGUUACUCCGCCGUGUCCAGGCCAACAUCGGUUCUGGGGGUCGGUUAAAGGCCCGAGGAAUGUAUCUACUCCUUCGGGGGUAGACUUAUAGCCUCGGGUGUCAUGCGACCUCCCGGGACCGAGGAACGCGCUUCGGCUCGGAUGUUGGCGUAAUGGUUGUCA
Molecule: ribosomal RNA, 590 nt
Filed under: Fonsecaea compacta
Lineage: Eukaryota; Fungi; Ascomycota; Eurotiomycetes; Chaetothyriales; Herpotrichiellaceae
Description: LSU rRNA
Rfam family: Eukaryotic large subunit ribosomal RNA
Source: RNAcentral